This 254-nucleotide ribosomal RNA is filed under the name uncultured bacterium. Its description in RNAcentral is "partial 16S ribosomal RNA". It matches the Rfam family "Bacterial small subunit ribosomal RNA", at positions 524 to 776 of the family's 1533-position model. The record is from RNAcentral.
UACGUAGGGUGCGAGCGUUAAUCGGAAUUACUGGGCGUAAAGCGUGCGCAGGCGGCUUCGCAAGUCAGGCGUGAAAUCCCCGGGCUUAACCUGGGAACUGCGUUUGAAACUACAAGGCUAGAGUGUGGCAGGAGGGGGGUGGAAUUCCACGUGUAGCAGUGAAAUGCGUAGAGAUGUGGAGGAACACCGAUGGCGAAGGCAGCCCCCUGGGUUAACACUGACGCUCAGGCACGAAAGCGUGGGGAGCAAACAGG